UACGAAGGGGGCGAGCGUUGUUCGGAAUUACUGGGCGUAAAGCGCACGUAGGCGGAUCCUUAAGUCGGUGGUGAAAUCCUGAAGCUCAACUUCAGAACUGCCUUCGAUACUGGGGACCUUGAGUUCGGGAGAGGUGAGUGGAACUGCGAGUGUAGAGGUGAAAUUCGUAGAUAUUCGCAAGAACACCAGUGGCGAAGGCGGCUCACUGGCCCGAUACUGACGCUGAGGUGCGAAAGCGUGGGGAGCAAACAGG
Molecule: ribosomal RNA, 253 nt
Filed under: uncultured bacterium
Lineage: Bacteria
Description: partial 16S ribosomal RNA
Rfam family: Bacterial small subunit ribosomal RNA
Source: RNAcentral